AUAUAUAAUAGAUCCAAUAAUAUCCCUCUCAUUUCUUUUCCUACCAUUUUCUCCGUGUACUCAAAUUAAUUCUCUUUCUUAAUUUGUUUUGUAACUCUCUCUCGAUCAUUGUUUUCAUUCACAGCUUGCAUAAGUCCGUAUGAUCAAUUUGGUUCAAUGGAGACGGAGUCCUCCCAUAUGAUACGGCCGGGACCAAUAUGAUCGUGAGCCGGACAAUGAUGAGCGGGACGAUUCAAUUGUCAACUCGAUGAAUGGUUUCCGUUCUUGGAUAGGUACUGCGAAUAUAUGCGAAUAUAAUAUGAACCACCUUACGGACCAAUAUGGAUCGUGAGGCGGACAAUUGUAUUGUAAUGUGAAGGUUCUCGGAAUGUUGAAAACAACUUGUGUAACUGGCUGAAUUCCUGAGGAACUCGAGUAUAUAGACUCAGAGCACAUCUUGGAAGUUUGAACGUUUGGACGUUUGUAAUAUUUACUUUAUUGUUGUUGAGAAUAUUUGUUGGACAUUUAGAAGUGUGUAAUUUAAUUUAUUUUGGUACAUUUGGAAGUUUGUAAUUUGUUGUUGUUGGCUUGUUGGGAACAAUUAAUUUGGUUUGCACUUAGAAAACAUUGGAUUUCAUUUUA
Molecule: long non-coding RNA, 621 nt
Organism: Carya illinoinensis
Lineage: Eukaryota; Viridiplantae; Streptophyta; Magnoliopsida; Fagales; Juglandaceae
Exons: 4
Source: RefSeq, a predicted model, not a curated record